GGGGGUGACAUAGACUCGACGUGGGAGUUUGGUCUCGUGUGGCAGGCCGCAGCGCCUAACUGCGUUAAAAUGGGCAAAACUUUAGGUGCCAACAACACCAACACUGCCUACGCUUACGCCGCCUAGUCGGCUAAAGUAAAGGUGUUGGGCCACAGUAGCCCAACCGUCCGUCACCAUCGGCCCUAUCCGGGGGUGUAACGGGCGUCACCAAUGAUAGGGUGCUUCUGUGCCACGCCGAUACGCGCAGACUAAGAUUAUCGGCUAGGUGGGUGUGUACCGGGUUGAUCGGGGCUGCACACACCGAAAACUAACGAUCAACUAAGCCUGUAGAAGCACGUUAUUGGCUCUUAUCGGACCGCGGGGCAGUACCGCGCACCUCCACUG
Molecule: transfer-messenger RNA, 384 nt
Filed under: Pleurocapsa minor GSE-CHR-MK 17-07R
Lineage: Bacteria; Bacillati; Cyanobacteriota; Cyanophyceae; Pleurocapsales; Pleurocapsaceae
Also listed under: 2 other names
Description: Pleurocapsa minor GSE-CHR-MK-17-07R (algae metagenome) transfer-messenger RNA
Rfam family: transfer-messenger RNA
About the family: Bacterial tmRNA, also known as 10Sa RNA or SsrA, is named for its dual tRNA and mRNA-like properties. Its role is to liberate the mRNA from a stalled ribosome. To accomplish this part of the tmRNA is used as a reading frame that ends in a translation stop signal.
Source: RNAcentral